This 29-nucleotide non-coding RNA is filed under the name Mus musculus (house mouse). The record is from RNAcentral. Lineage: Eukaryota; Metazoa; Chordata; Mammalia; Rodentia; Muridae.
CACCAAACAUGGGUAGUAGGUGACUUUGA